RNAcentral lists this ribosomal RNA (504 nucleotides) under uncultured bacterium. Its description in RNAcentral is "partial 16S ribosomal RNA". It matches the Rfam family "Bacterial small subunit ribosomal RNA", at positions 30 to 523 of the family's 1533-position model. The record is from RNAcentral.
AUUGAACGCUGGCGGCAGGCCUAACACAUGCAAGUCGAACGGUAGCACAGAGAGCUUGCUCUCGGGUGACGAGUGGCGGACGGGUGAGUAACGUCUGGGAAACUGCCCGAUGGAGGGGGAUAACUACUGGAAACGGUAGCUAAUACCGCAUAACGUCGCAAGACCAAAGUGGGGGACCUUCGGGCCUCACACCAUCGGAUGUGCCCAGAUGGGAUUAGCUAGUAGGUGGGGUAAUGGCUCACCUAGGCGACGAUCCCUAGCUGGUCUGAGAGGAUGACCAGCCACCCUGGAACUGAGACACGGUCCAGACUCCUACGGGAGGCAGCAGUGGGGAAUAUUGCACAAUGGGCGCAAGCCUGAUGCAGCCAUGCCGCGUGUAUGAAGAAGGCCUUCGGGUUGUAAAGUACUUUCAGCGGGGAGGAAGGCGGUGAAGUUAAUAGCUUAACCGAUUGACGUUACCCGCAGAAGAAGCACCGGCUAACUCCGUGCCAGCCGCCGCAGUAA